GGGGCCGAAAUUGGAUUCGACCGGACAGGGAAGGCUUGUUGCUGCGCGUCGUGGAGCAUCCUUGCCACGUAAAAAGGAUGCAAACUAAUAAUUGCUGACACUCAGUUAGCACUCGCCGCGUAAUUGCGGUGACGAUCGUCAGCUUGACGCCCGAUACGGCUGGCGAUCGACGAUCAUCGGGCUGGCUCCAAUGGGCUGGCAUACUUCGGCGGAGCGAGAAACUUGUAUGCCAUGGUGUUUUAGGAGGCGGUCGUUAGUCGCCUAAUUCACCAAGAUCAAAUAACGACUACACGUGUAGACGCGGCUUGCUGACUGUUCCGGCACGGGGGUUCGAUUCCCCCCGGCUCCACUU
Molecule: transfer-messenger RNA, 352 nt
Filed under: Phycisphaerales
Lineage: Bacteria; Pseudomonadati; Planctomycetota; Phycisphaerae
Also listed under: 1 other name
Description: JADFNO01 sp022563315 Standard tmRNA
Rfam family: transfer-messenger RNA
About the family: Bacterial tmRNA, also known as 10Sa RNA or SsrA, is named for its dual tRNA and mRNA-like properties.
Source: RNAcentral